RNAcentral lists this ribosomal RNA (480 nucleotides) under uncultured bacterium. RNAcentral's name for it is "partial 16S ribosomal RNA". It matches the Rfam family "Bacterial small subunit ribosomal RNA", at positions 355 to 829 of the family's 1533-position model. The record is from RNAcentral.
UGGGGAAUCUUCCGCAAUGGACGAAAGUCUGACGGAGCAACGCCGCGUGUAUGAUGAAGGUCUUCGGAUUGUAAAGUACUGUCAUUGGGGAAGAACGGUUUUCUUGAAAGAUUGAGAAGACAUGACGGUACCCAAGGAGGAAGCCCGGCUAACUACGUGCCAGCAGCCGCGGUAAUACGUAGGGGGCAAGCGUUGUCCGGAAUUAUUGGGCGUAAAGGGCGCGUAGGCGGGCCUUUAAGUCCGGUGUGAAAGAUCAGGGCUCAACCCUGAGAGUGCAUCGGAAACUGGAGGCCUUGAGGACAGGAGAGGAAAGUGGAAUUCCACGUGUAGCGGUGAAAUGCGUAGAUAUGUGGAGGAACACCAGUGGCGAAAGGCGACUUUGUCGACUGUAACUGACGCUGAGGCGCGAAAGCGUGGGAGCAAACAGGUUAGAUACCCUGGUAGUCCACGCCGUAAACGAUGAGUGCUAGGUGUAGAGGG